CCCUUAGAUGUUCUGGGCGGCACGCGCGCUACAAUGGUCUUCGCAAACGGAUGCAUUCUCGAAGGAGAAUGCCAAUCUUGGAAUCUAUGCCUUGGUCGGGACAGUUGCUUGCAAUUUUUCGACUCGAACCAGGAAUUCCUUGUAAUCGUGAUUCAUCACAUCACGAUGAAUACGUCCCUGCCCUUUGUACACACCGCCCGUCGCUCCUACCGAUCGAAGAGUUAGGUGAAUUGUUUUGAUCGAUAAGAUUUGACUAUGGUCAACUCUCGUUGGGAAAUUCUGUGAAUCUGACUGUUUAGAGGAAGGAAAAGUCGUAACA
RNAcentral lists this ribosomal RNA (319 nucleotides) under uncultured eukaryote. RNAcentral describes it as "partial 18S ribosomal RNA". It matches the Rfam family "Eukaryotic small subunit ribosomal RNA", at positions 1470 to 1796 of the family's 1831-position model. The record is from RNAcentral.